UCAUUACACCAGCGGAAGCAAAUUAGGCCCGAGUACGAACAAAUUACAAUUAUUGCCUAAGAGGCUGAAACCGAAAGGAGAGCCCCCCACAAGUUCAUAGAACCCUGCUCUGGAAUCUUCUGGCUAAGCGUCGAAGCUGUCGUCGUCGAACUCCACGAAGUAACCACUCACUUGUUCCUCCGGAAACUCUGGAGAAAACAACGUUGCAAAGCAACUGAGUACAAAGUACUCGCAAGACUUACGGGAGAUCUAAACUAGAUAUGCAACAAGUCUCAAAGGAUGGAUAAUAUGGUGGGGUUAUGCAGCAGCAGAAAUAUCUGAAGAGACACACUAAUGACAUCGUCUAAGUAGAGGAUGAGAAGCGUCUACUAAGUGAGGUGAUCCUCUAACAACUAACACCAAACAAACACAACCUCUUAUCACCCCCACAACCCCUUGUGAGGAAAUGAUCCACAUGCACUCACACUUAAGCAGUUUUAAGCAUAUCCAUGGUUAAGGCUAAUUACUACUCAUGUUUAGGAGAUUAAGUUAAUUAAUUGGUAUGAGUUCUCUAUGAUCAAAUAAUGACCAACCAAGUCGUCCAUGACCCCGGACACAGCUUUCCGAAAGAUUUAUCCCUGCAGGGUGUGCCAAUUUACCCGUACACGUCCGUCCAACCCUUGACGCCACUAGCAUGGAACACACGCAAAAGCAUGUGCCGGCAAGAUUGAGCGACAUGACGUCUCCAAGCCCCACAACUAAUCCAGGGAACCACCCGACUGAGUCUAAUCCGAAACGAGAGCCCGGCCGAAGCGUCAUACGGACUCAAGAGUUGCGUGGACAGCUGGUAGUGGUUCGGUGUCCGCAAAAUGACCACUCCAGACUAGUGCCGCAAUCUUAUAUGUAUGCAAAGUACCAACAAACCUCCAAACACAACACCAGUGUAUAUGCGAUAUGCCAAAUGGAACGCCCGAACUAUGUGGCCCCUGGAAGAGCUAUGAAACGAGUAUUAAGCCGAGGGGGAACCCAUAUAUUCUCCCACGAGCGGUUAGUGCGAAGUUUCUUGGGUCGACGAAAACGAGAACUCAGUCCUUAGGUCGGCGCCAAUGGAACAAAACACCAAUGCGUUAGCACGGCCUCCCAUCGUUGCCUUGUGCAGGUAAUAGCAGGUCACAGUUUAAUAAUUGCACUUAAAUACAGAUAGUAGCAUGUGGAUGUAGCAAUUGUAUAACCCCAAGUAAGGACACUAUACUAGCAAUCUAAGCAAACUUCUAAUGACCAACUAGGGCAAUAACAAACAUGUGACAUGGUAAUAGGAUAAGGAACAAGACAACAGGCAUUUGAGUAGAGCUGACUAAAACUAUGCAAUUCUAGAGGCAUCGUGACAAGAACCGAGAACGUAACUUAAUGCAAGAAUGAGAGAGAGGCAUUGGGUAUAAUCAACAAGUUCAAGGAAUGGCUACUUGCCUGGAUUCUCGGUCGCUGGGCACCGAGAGAGGGGAUGCGAAGAAGUGUGGGAACCCGGAUCGUCAGCGGAGUAAGUCGGAGUCGCUAUCGUAAAGAACGAAAUCACACAAUACGCAAAUAAGUAACCAUUCACAGGUGCCAUGCACAAUACAACAUGAGAUGGCAUGUGACAACACGAUGCAACAAUAUGCAAGUGAAAUGAUUCCAUUUAGCAACAAAGUCAACAAUUAGGUGAUUAGAACAUGGUAAACAGUACCUUUAAAAUACACAAAGGGCCUAACCAAGUAUUCUACUGUGUUCUACAAGUUACAGUGAUCAACUUUGAUGUUUACAACAAUUACAGAAGAGUUACCAAUUUUAAAUUAGAGACUAAACAAGUUCAUACUUUUGAAUUUCAAAUCUGGGACAGAUUUGAAAUUUGAAACCUCAAAAUGUAAUUCUAAUUAUACAGUUAAAUUCCUUGCAUUUUUCUGAUUCCAAAACAUAUAUGGUUUGCUCAAAUUGGAUAUAGCAUGCAUUUACUAGGAAUUAAACAAGAUUUGAAACAUUUCUGGAAUUUAAAAACAAAUGAAAACACACGGAGAACUAAAACUACGCGGGCGCAGCUAGCCAGUGCGGCUGAUAGCGGGCCCGGAAGGGCUGACUAGGCGAGGCGCGCUAAGUUGGCUGCUACGUGGUCAAUACAUUUGAAUGUAUUGGCAAGUUCACCUGGAAGUUAUAACAGAUCCUAUCAAGUAUAUGCAAUUGAGGUAUAGUGGGAUUUUGGCUUUAUGGCGUGGAAGCAAAACAUAGUUUGUCUUACUAGAAUUGAAUGUUACAAUAUUGUUAACUAAUGGACACGGGGUAGAAACACCCAUGCUCUUAUUAACCUAGAGCACAUUGAGUAGAAGCAUCAAGUGCCCCUACCCUGUUCAAACCAUUCAUUUUAUUUAAGAAGUUGGAAUGAGUGAGACUUUUCUUACAGUCCUAAUAUCUAGUUGCUCAUAAUUGUCCGUAACCGGGGACACGGCAAAGUACUUAGUUUGACACUCUCGAGAGGUUGUACACAAUCACCACAAGAAUUCGACGUGUUAAUCCCUUGCUGUCCUCCCAGGGGAGUAGCAAUGGCAUCGACUUCAAGAAUUUUCAGAACAUGUUUACCCAGACCACCUGAGGGACCCGCGCUCCCACCUACACAACUACCUCAGUACAAGCCCUCGGAUCUGGGUUCACAUUUCUUACUCCAUCCAGCCAGAGCCCAUUUAGCUUGUGGUUGUACUAGAAGCUACUAAACAGGAAACUAGUCCAGUCUCUGAUACCCCAGGUGGCAUUCCACAUUUGCGACGCAAGCGCUCCCUGAAUCCACGGAAGAGACGUCCAUGGACGAUCCAUCUCCGAAUCCACGGAGACUCGACUCAGAGGGACACAUAGAAAUGGACCUGACGUCGCAUAACAUCUCAAAAUCUCAAAGCAGUCCACCCAGGAUGGUUCAUUAGGGUUGUUUUGCCAAGUUUCCAAAAUCACUCCACAUCAUCAUUUCACAUUUGAUUGAGAUUCUCUCCCUCAUAUACUAACAUAGCAGGGCUAGCAAUUCUAAUCACGAUGGCUAUUGGUGGAGGAUUAAUGGCAAAGGUAACCCUAUAGCUAGUAGGUCAAUCAUAACUAGCAUAAGUACGAGUAAUAGUCCCAUCAAUGCAUUUCUACAAACAACUCUAAUGCAUAAGUAUUUUAAGAACAAACGGUAAUAGGAUACGAUCAAAGUGAACUUGCCUUGGUAGUAGUUGGAGUUCAAACACUCGUCACAAUCGCAAGGUUCGCUCUCCGAAAAUACUAUACAAUCAAACAAACAUACACACACAUAAACACACAAUUCAAACAUGACAAAAGAAUGUAUGCUAUGAUGCGAUGCAAACAUGUGACAUGAUUGGGUUUAUUUUAUUCGGGUCAUCUACUGAUCUUAAGCAUAAGUAAUUAAAACAAGUGCAUUAGGGUUUUAAAUAAAGGCAAAGGCUAGGGUUCAAACCCUAAAAUGAGGUUUUAUUGGAAUCAGCCAAAUAUUUAACUCAAAAUAUUUAUUUCUCUGUCCCAAUGGACAGAGGAUAAUAAAACAAAUUUUUGGGCACUGGUUUCAUUCAAAAAGGACUUCUAAAUAAAUAGUUAUGAUUUAAAUGGUAUUAAACCCUAUUCUGUAAUUUGAAUGUGAUUCAAAAUUUCAAAUUUCAAAUUGGACAGUGCCAAAAGAUUCUAAAUUUCCUAAGGAUUCCAAAAAGGUGUGGAUCAUUAAAUUUGGCCAAACAGAUUAAAAGAUAAGAUCAUUUGCAGUUACAGGGGCUUUUCUGCAAAAGUGCCAUUUAAUUAUUCCGGGGGAUUAAAAUUAGAUUUUUAUUUUAUAAAUCGGGUGCCACAUGGCGUUUUCUUAUUUGUCGGUACCGGUUCGGUUAAGUGAAUAAAAAUAGAUCUAAUCUACACCGUUGAUCUCGAUUGGACGGACGAGGGGAGGUCGGGAUCACCUAGGGUUCCGGCGAGCUUCUCCGGCGGCGGCGCGGCACGGGCGGCGGCGGCGCGGGGUGCUCCGGCGACGCGGGUGGCUCGGGGAUGGCCGGGGAUGGCGCGGUGCGGCACGGCGGAGAUGGGGGCGCGGUCGGCGCGGGGUCGGGCGGUAGGGGUCCUCGCCUAGGUCGAAGACGAGGCGGCGGCGCGGGCGGCGAACUCCAGCGAGCUUCGGGCGCGACGGGGGCGGUGCUGCGGUGCAUCGAAAAAGAAACGGGGGGCGUCAGUGGAUGCGCGAGAGAGAGAGGAAGACGAAGGAGCAAACGGCGACGAAGAUGGCUCAUCGAGCUCGUCAGCGUGACGCGAAGACGGCGACGGCGCGGGUGCGGCUCCGGCGAAGAAUUCCGGCGGCGUGGGCACGUGCGAGCGGGGGCGAGAAGAGGGAAAAAGAAGAGGGGCGCUCGGGCUUUAAACGGACGCGAGCGGCGAAGAUUGGGAAGGUCGGAAUCUCCGGAUUCCGGAGAUUGCAGCGGCGGGCAGUCCGGCGCGGACUCAGCGCCGGCUUUCUUAACGGGGAAGAAGGCCCUGACGCGUGGGUCCCACGCGUCAGCGGCAGCGGGCGUGCGCGCGCGGACUGGUCCGGUUCGGGCGCGGUCGGGCGGGCGGUUCGGCCGGUUCGCGGCUUAGCGGGCCGGCCCAGUGGGUCGGUCCGUUCUAUUUUUUUUUAGGCUUUUUUUUUCUGUUUUGUUAUUUCUUUGAUAACUUUUGAUUUUGAACUCCAAAUUGGUCCAAAUAAAUUCCAGAAAAUUUGUAAAAUCAUGUUUUACCAUGAUUCAACUUUUGGGAGUAGUUUCCCCUCAAAAUAAAAUAUAUAAAAAUACAUUUUCCCUAUAAAUGCCUUUAGGGCUAUAUAUCUAUUUAAAUAAAAUACUUUUUCAAGUCCAAAUAAUUAUCCAAAAAUUAUGGGAUAGCUUAUAUAUGCAAUAAACCACUUUUUAUACAUAAACCCUAUUGGUUUGAAAAUCCAAAGCUUAAAUGGGUGUAAACCCUAGGGUUCAAAUUGAAAUAGAGUCGUUUCAAAGCCUUUUGAGAUUCAAAUUUGAAUUCAAAUAUGCAAUAUGCUCAUGGAUGCAAUGCACAUGUAAAAGUUUGAAAUUUUAGGAUGUUACAUAAACGGAAGCGGCGCGCAAAGUUAUUCUAAGUGGCACAAAGACCACCACAUCAUCCUUAAGGAGAACGACGGCGUGGCGCGACGAGUAAGCUCGCCGGCGGCAACCGGGGCGCGUGCGCACAGCUACGAAGCUAUGGAGCACUAAAACGAGCGCGGAAAGGAGUGGGAGAGAGAGGAGCUCACCCUGAAUCCUCCGGAGGAAGCUGACGAGGAUUUGGUGGACGGGCUCGUCUGAAUUUGUCGGAGAAGAGGCGGCGGUCGGAGUUUGGGAAGACGAGCUAGGCGUCGACGUAGACGAUCCCAGCCAAAUUCCUUGCACGUGGACGAAGAGGAAGAAGCGGCGGAGCUCGUGACGCGGUCGGGGCGUCGUGGUUCGGCCGGAGGAGGCGGCGUGAUGCAGGGGCGUCCACGGCCCGAAAGAAGCGGCGGCGGCGGCGCAAGAAACGAGGAAGAGGAAACCCUAGCUAGGGUUUGCCUGGCGCUGGGAAAGGGAGGAGGCACGACGCAGCUUAAGUAGGGGCCCGGAGCUCUCCCUGUCGCUGUCGAGGGCGGACGUGGCGCGCGGGCUCCAUCGGCCAGGAGGAAGAAAGCAAAGGUGGAAGAAAGCCUGUGAGACAAGGCAUAUUUCCGGAGAAUGCGCUUUCGCUGUGGGGAAGCGGAACGCGGACGCUGCGCGAGGUUGCGGGGCCGAGCUAGGCUGCGGCGCGGCGGGAGAAGAUGGGCCGAGCUGGGCUGCGCGCGAAAUUGGGCCGAGGUAAGCAGGUAAGGUUCUUUUUCUUUUUCCUUUUCCUUUUCUGUUUCUCUCUCUUUGCAAAUAACUUUGGAUUCAAAAUUCACCAAUUUGAAAAGCUGAGGAAUAGGAGAGUUCAAAUAUAGUGCUAGUAUUUGAAAAUGUUCAAAUGGAUUUACAGAUUGAAAAAUCCAUUUGACUCUCUUUAAUAAAUUAUGGAAAAUUCAUAUUUGAAUCAUCUAGCAAAUUCAAACAACAAGAAUUCAAACCACAAGUUGAGAUGCAAAUUUAAAACUCAUGUGACACAAACAAAUAGACAUGGCAUGGCAUGGAUGCAAAUGUAAAAUGUUAUGCAACAAGAAAUAAAUUACAAACAGGUCCACACAAAGGGCUUAAUGUAAAUGUUGCUCUUGGGAUGUUACAUCCGCGCCGCGUCCUGAUGUGCGCACGACCGCACCGCUCCCUCGCUACACCAAGCCAAGGCCGCGCCCACACGGGACGCACCCACGCCCUUGCCGGAUCGCGACGCCCCGAGAGCAUUCGGCAAAAUGCCCGCAAGGGUUGCCAACCCAAAAACGCAUCAAGGACAGAGUCACAAAGCUUCCACCCACCUUGACACGAGCAAGAAGGGCAUGGACGAAGACGAGGAUCUCCCGGGAGGACUUGUAGGCACGAUCGACACCUCGCCCCGGGCGGCCUCAAACGUGCUCCGCGCCCCCACGACGACUCGAUGAUGGAGAGCUUCCGCGGCGGUUCUUCAGCGACCAACGCGACCUCCGUCGUCGCUAAGGAGUAGCUAAUGCCCCUGCGAAGCUCCCUACUACACCAAGCUCUCGAAGGAAUGCCGGGUGCCGCCGAACGCGUCUUCAACACCGGGCAAACCAAACAAGUGUGGUGUGAAGCUCCACAGUGCCCAAGGUCUCCAUUUUAUAGGCCAUCGGAGCCCCUAGGCGUCCGGGCCGGGCCAAUGGUGCGGCGACACCUCGCCGUCCUUCUCACCAAGGAACAAGACAAAGGGGAGGGAAGAAAUGGGAAGGGGAAGCGCCCCCUUUUCCCUAAAGGAGGUUGGCCUGGCCGAAGGAGGGCGCCCCGCGCUCGGGUCCUGCGUCCUCGCCGCGCCGGCGUCACCCCCGGUGACGAGCUCUGACUGCAAAAGGCGAAAGAGAAGGACCGUUCGGUCCCCUCCCGUACGAAGGUAGACGACGGCCCAGGGCCGUCCGAUCUAGGGCACACCCCUGCCUGUGGCCGUCAGAUCUUCAACUUAAAUCCCGAACCGGUAUCAAGGCCAACUGGGCCCCGGCCCAGUAAAAGCCCAAAGAAGCCGGCCUAAAAAAACUAAGGAAAGCCUCCCAGAGGAGGCCCAACUAGCGGCCCAGCUCGCGUCCGCGCGCGCACCAGGCCAGCCCGGAUGGCCCGUGCAGCUGGCUGAGUUCGAGGAAAUUUGCAAAAAGGCCCAAGACUUCGGAAGAAUUACCAAUAAGACCUCAGAAAUUUUGGGGAGGCCCGCGGGGCCCCUGAUUUUUGCAAAAAAGUCCUUCGGACACCGGAUUUCUCGCAGAGAGGCCCCUGGGGUCCCUUUUUUUUGCUAAAAUACCCCCCGAAACUCAAUUUCUCGCAGAGAAAAUCGCCGUAGGCAUGAAAUUUUCUCGAAACGCCUCUAAGGCUCAUGUUCUUUGCAGGAAAACCACCAAGUACCUCUGUUUCUCACAAGGAAACUCACUAGGGAAUCCAUCAAAGACACCAUCAUGAAUCCAAGAACGAGAAAAAGGAUCAAAAGUCUCGCAUCGAAGGUUGACCCGAAGGCAUUCUCAAUGCCUCCAGCUCAAGGGGGCUACUGUUGUAGUAAACUAAAACCCUUAUAUGGGCCGGGCCGUAAAUCCUAUGUGGCGACGACUAAGUCAACAUUUCCCAAGCAUGAGUCAAAACGCCCACGUGGCGCGGUGAAUCGUACGUGGCAAAGGAAGACAAGUCAACAAGUCAAGCCUCUCAUGCCAUGGUCAAAGGAUCAAAUGAACUAGAGUAGGGGGUAAGAAAGGUGUGAGGAGGGGGCCCUUAGUCCAUGGUGGACCAUGGACCAAACCCCACUUUUCUCACAUGGUGCACACAAAAGUUAUGAACCAAGGAGCUACUUUUACCAUUUUGCCCCCACUUUUCUCUCUCCCCAAGGAUAGCCAUGGUCUUUGUCAUGAACCCCUAGGCUAUAAAUACCCCCCAUGGAGGCAUGUACCACUCACUCUCACUUGAAUAAACUCAAGGGGAGAGGGUUAGAGUGCUCCCUCUAAGGUUCGCUCUCGCGCGCCGCUCUCGACUGAAAGUCGAUCGGCCUCGAGGAAGCCUUCUAGGGGACUCUAGUUUUGAGGCUCCGAGCUAAUCUUGGUUGGCACAGGCUCGAAGGAGAAGGGGUUGGGUUAGAGUUCCGAGAGUAUCCUAACCUCGAUACUUGGAAAGACGCAUUCUGUCCAAGUACGAGGCGGCCCCGACGAAUCUCUCGCUAAAAGGUGUCUUGGGAAGAUCCGCUCGGCCCAAGCCCUUGGCUAACAACCCCCUCGAAGCCUUUCCCAACAUAGGAUUAAGUCGCACCCGCAGGGUCGGCCGAACCUAUUCAAAAAAUAUCGACGUGUCAACUUGUCCAAGUAUACGGCGACCUUCGCUAUAAGGCCGGCGUACACGGCCUACUUUUAUACCCGCACUUGUGCCAUCGAGUAUUGACACCCCUUACUCUAAUUGGUGUCAAGAACGACAACACAACCAGAUGAUAUCCCGCGCGUUGCUGCGGAAUUAGUAUGUCAAACACUUAAGAAUGAUGAGAACUCUUAAAGAAUACAUAAAUGAUAAGAAAGGAAAAGUAAUUUGACCACUCCAUCAGAAUGUUUGUAAGCUCUCGCGAACCACAAUUGCAAAUGUGUAGUGAGAAAGAAGCUUGGAUGCCAAUUACACAAAUAAAUUAAGGAUACGUCCUUAAGUAACCGUCACACUUUUUGACAAUCCUAGAUUGUUGUUUUGCAAAUUACAAAAACAAAAUCAGAGCUGAGUAGGAAGCAUUUCAAGUCGAUGAAACAACUAUUGUAUUAUGUCAUUCAUGUGUCGUAAUGUUCCAAAAGAUUUUUUUUCAACAAAAUAGUUAUUUUCAACAAAAAAGUUCUGAUACAAUAAGAAUAUUAUUGGCUAUGCUAACUAUAUGAGCAAUGAAGCGCAUCAUUUUAUUAUUUCAUUAUCCACUAGUUGACAUCUAGAAUUUAGGGAGAGUCAUAUGUUCAUAUGGGAUCAACAACUCCAUUUGUUACGAAGCAUCUCACAUACAUGGUUCAUGGACCAUGCUGUAUAACCUUGAAAGGAACAUAACUUCUUGGCCAUGCAAGCACGCUCACAACGCAACUUGUAGAAACCCUCCCUAACUUUAAACGUAUAUAUAAACCAUGGCAUCAAUUUAACUAAACAUGAUUCCCGGAGUUCCCAACUUUUUAUAUAUUAUACAAAAUAGAAGUAGACCCAAAGAAAAUAAUUUACUUCUCUUGGAAUAACACUUGUACAACAAAAGAGAAAGGCAAAAUCUAAAUUAAACUUUAUGGGAUAACUAAUACCAUACAUACAAAUCAGUUUAUUAUGAAUAAUUUUUUUGCAUAUUGGUAUUGCUCCAGACCUUAGGAUAUAAUUUUAUCUACAACAAACAGCCAGGACCCUCUAAAUGUUUUACAGGACUUUUUGGUAGUUGUACAUAAGAAUACACCAUUUUUGGCAGACCGUUCGAGCACUUCUGAAAAUCUAACCAUAGUUUAGCAUGAAUAAAACUAUGGGCAUAAGACAUAUGGUAGUGUGUUUGGUACAUUUAUGACUGAAACAUGUUGCUGGCUGUAUGCAUCAGACUUGAGAAAAUAAUGCCAGCUUAAAAUAGUAGUUCUUAAGUUAGACCACUGGGGUGCUUCAAUGUUCAUCGAACAACUUGUCUACAGACUUUAGAAAAUAAAUGUGCACAAAGAACAGGUAAAGAAAUAACAAAAGUAUAGAUGUAAGCUUUUCUCAACAAAAUUAGUGGCAUGGAUCUGAAUGAACUGCGGCAGCAUAGAUAUAUUAUUAGUGUUUGUUAGAAAGCUGCGAUGAAAAGAUGGUCCGUGUUUUGUGGUAAUCAACCUGAAUACUGUCAUUUCUGAUUUCAGUAAAUGGAGACAUGGAUGGUUGUUGGAUUCAAUAAAAUCACUUAUGCCAAAUUAGCAACCUGGGAAAAAUGGCAACAUGUUUACACAGGAGAUAACUGAAUGCAUGUUGUAAAUCCAGCAACUGCACUUCUAAUCUGCAUCUAGCGUAGCUGGAUCUGUGCAAUUUUAUCCUCUGUUACUCGAUCAACUACUCAGCAGAGACAUGAAAAAUAAUUGACAGAUGUAGAAAAUAGUUUGGCGAUGAAGCAGUAAUACAAUAGUGGAAGAUUGAGAUUAGGGAAAAAUCUGGCCAACCUUGGUAUUGCGAGGUAACUGAAGUGGGCCGACAACGAUGGCUGCAGAUUCUUCCCGUCCAGCACGCGUAGUAGCAGCAGACCAUGAGAAGACGUUGGCAAGGGCCCCAAAUUCAUCCUGGCCAACGCGCUAUCCUUCUGAGAGCGAAACCUGCUGAAUCGUUAUCUUCUUCGAGCCACCCUGUUUUUUCAUGCCAUCAAUCCCCACCAUCCUCACCUCCCUCCUCGUUGCAGGAUUUAAAUGGUUUGAUUUGAAGAUGAAUGGUAAAUUAUCAGCCAUUACUUCAACCAAAACUUGAUGAAGACAAUAGUGUAUCGUGGUAAAUUAUCAGCCACUUGUCCAUUCAAAAUUGGGCACAAUAGCUUAAGUGACAAUUCACUGCCUUACCUUUUUUCUUCUCCAUCAAUAAUAGCCAGCAGAUUAGAGGCCAAACAAAAUGAUGAAACUCCAGCCCUCCAUGUACCAUAGUCAUAUAUAUCCUUCGCUCUUUGCAUACAGAAAGAAAUCAAAUAGCAUAAUAUCUGAAGGUAUAUAGCGUUUAGUGUGAGUAUUGUCACUUUUAACCGUAGUGUCUCCUUCCAUCUCUGUUAGACUGUUACUCUCUGUUACCUGUAUAUUUAUGUUGCCCUACAAUAUUUAUGAGAAAGUAUGGAACAUCAUAGGCCAACUUAAAUUAUAUUCAACAAACAAUGCAUAUGCUCAUCCAAUGCAAUCAGAUGGUACAUCAGUAACAACAGCAAAAGUAACAACAGAAAUUAUAGGUCAGAACCUUCUGUACCGUUGCAAGAAGGUUGUGCUGGAAAAUUUGACGCAUGCAAAAUCGAAUCGAAUCCUGGACCCUGUGUACCGAUACAACCUCCUCCUCCUAAUUCCAGUGGGCAACGCUGAGAACCAACGCAAACCCUGGGCCGACAAAACAUCAAACAGGUUGUAGGCAGAAGUCAAUAUCAGAUAUUUAGAAACAUCAGAUUGAAAUAUAUGAACUUGGGGACUUAAAGAAAAAAAAAGGACCAAAGAGCAGGAGAGGUCACCUACCUGAGCGAAGGCCGGUCGAGUGAGAGCGCGACUCGAGCAGGUAGUAUAGACAGGGGUCCGCAGGUUAGGGUCGCGCCGCGAGGGCGUGCAUACGCCCCAUCACCUUCUUGGGCUUGGGAGGGCGGGGAGUGGGGCCUGGUUGGGCGACGGCAGGGAGGCAGGAGGGUCCGGGUCAGGCGGCGGCAGGGACUCGGGUGCAGCGGACGAAGGCAGGAGGUGAGAGAGGCGGGGGGCGGCGUGGCAUCAGUGGAUGGCGGAGGCGGGCUGGUCCUUCUCUCUCCUUUUUAUGGUCGCAAGUGCAGGGAAGGAGAGGAAGCGGAGAGGGUGCCGUCGGGAUUGAAGCAUAGGAAGGAGAAGGGGAAUAGCUGUACUCAAAUGCGCCCAGGAAGUUGA
This 11692-nucleotide long non-coding RNA is filed under the name Brachypodium distachyon (stiff brome). RNAcentral's name for it is "long non-coding RNA (BDIS_LNC001729)". The record is from RNAcentral. Lineage: Eukaryota; Viridiplantae; Streptophyta; Magnoliopsida; Poales; Poaceae.